GUGGGGAAUCUUCCGCAAUGGACGAAAGUCUGACAGAGCGACGCCGCGUGAGUGAAGAAGGCCUUCGGGUCGUAAAGCUCUGUCAUCAGGGACGAACGGCCGGUGGAGUGGAAAGCCACCGGAUUGACGGUACCUGAGAAGGAAGCCACGGCUAACUACGUGCCAGCAGCCGCGGUAAUACGUAGGUGGCAAGCGUUGUCCGGAAUUAUUGGGCGUAAAGCGCGCGCAGGUGGGAUCUUAAGUCCAUUUUGAAAGUUCGGAGCUCAACUCCGUGAUGGGAUGGAAACUGGGAUUCUUGAGUACCGGAGAGGAAAGCGGAAUUCCCCGUGUAGCGGUGAAAUGCGUAGAUAUGGGGAGGAACACCAGUGGCGAAGGCGGCUUUCUGGACGGUGUCUGACACUGAGGCGCGAAAGCCAGGGGAGCGAACGGGAUUAGAUACCCUGGUAGUCC
This 450-nucleotide ribosomal RNA is filed under the name uncultured bacterium. Its description in RNAcentral is "partial 16S ribosomal RNA". It matches the Rfam family "Bacterial small subunit ribosomal RNA", at positions 354 to 796 of the family's 1533-position model. The record is from RNAcentral.